Rattus norvegicus (Norway rat) is the source of this 636-nucleotide long non-coding RNA. RefSeq lists it as uncharacterized. Lineage: Eukaryota; Metazoa; Chordata; Mammalia; Rodentia; Muridae. The record is from RefSeq and is a predicted model, not a curated record.
CUAAAAUCAAAAUCAUCAGCCUCUAACAGCUCUGGGAGGGAAGCCUCAGAGGGCUGGAUCUCUAUUAGGUCAUGAAUGACCAUUGUUGACUCUGGCUUGCCCAACAAGUUGAGCCCAGGUGUUAGAGCGCAUCUUCAUUCAGAGUACUUACAGAAGUCCCCCUCUUCGGGGGCAUGAAGAAUGGCUGUUUCUUAUACUCCUGGUUGUCAUUGAGGACACCAAAGCUUGAGAGGACACUGCACACAAACUCGCGUUCGCAGCUCUGCCUUGACCACUUACUACACCGUGAGCUUGGGUGGAAGGCUUCACUUCUGGGAGCCUCCGAUGCUUUCUGUAAAAACAGAGCUCCCCAGCAGGUAGCCACAGCUGCUAUAUGCUCAUGUUACAAAGUCCGGUAUAUUGACCAUCAGAUGGAGAAGUGAUUUCCAGAAUACAUGAAAGACUUAAAACACACACACACACACACACACACACACACACACACACACACACACCCUAAACAUCAAGAAAAGAAACAACUUAAUCUAGAAAUUGGCCACGGAUCCGAACAGAGAACGAGGGCUAGUAAACAUCUUCAACUGUGUUCAACUUCUACAGCCAUGAGCAAAGUACAAAUUAAAGCUACUCUGAGAUGGU